GCCCUUGAGUUUGAUCCUGGCUCAGAACGAACGCUGGCGGCAGGCUUAACACAUGCAAGUCGAACGAGAAACCCUUUCGGGGGUGGACAGUGGCAGACGGGUGAGUACGCGUGGGAAACUACCCAGAGGUACGGGACACCAUUGGAAACGAUGGCUAAUACCGAUACGCCCCCCUUAGUGAAAUUUGGGGGGGGGGGGAAAAAAAGGAUUUAUCGCCUUUGGAUGUGCCCGCGUUAAAGAUUAGUUUGUUGGUGGGGUAAUGGCCUACCAAGGCUACGAUCUUUAGCUGGUCUGAGAGGAUGAUCAGCCACAUUGGGACUGAGACACGGCCAGACUCCUACGGGAGGCAGCAGUGGGGAAUCUUGCGCAAUGGGCGAAAAGCCUUGACGCAGCCAUGCCGCGUGAGUGAAGAAGGCCCUCGGGUUGUAAAACUCUUUCGCCGGUGACGAUUCCGUGACGGGGUUAAACCCGGGUUAAAACAAAAAAGGGGGGACAAAAAAAAAAAAAAAAAAAAGGCCCCCCGGGGGCCAAAAAUUUUUCUCCCCCCCGGGGGGUUUUUGGGGCCCAAAGGGCAAAGGGCCCCCGGCGGGUAAAGGAACGGGGAAGGGGGGGGGGGGGGGGGCCCUUAAAGGCGGUUGGGUUCCCGGGAAAUUUUCACCUUUGGGGGCCGGUUUCNAAAGGGGGGGGCCGGGUUGGGUUAAAAGGGGGCCGGGGGGAAUUGGGGGGAUUCCCAAAGGUUCCGGGGGGGGGUUGGAAAAGGCCCCGGGGGGCUUCAAACCCCCCGGGGAACGGGCUUCGAUUACUGUCCAUUCUUGAGGGCCGGAAGAAGGGUUGAAGCGGGAAAUUCCCCAGUGGUCAGAGGGUGGGAACUUCCGGAGAAUUUUUGGGGGAAAAGAAACACCCCAGAGGCGAAGGGGUU
Molecule: ribosomal RNA, 919 nt
Filed under: uncultured Alphaproteobacteria bacterium
Lineage: Bacteria; Pseudomonadati; Pseudomonadota; Alphaproteobacteria
Description: partial 16S ribosomal RNA
Rfam family: Bacterial small subunit ribosomal RNA (bases 7-559)
Source: RNAcentral